Molecule: ribosomal RNA, 2034 nt
Filed under: Henneguya sp. s MHB-2019
Lineage: Eukaryota; Metazoa; Cnidaria; Myxozoa; Bivalvulida; Myxobolidae
Description: bacterial SSU rRNA
Rfam family: Eukaryotic small subunit ribosomal RNA
Source: RNAcentral
UAGACUGCGGACGGCUCAGUAUAUCAGUUAUAAUCUACUCGAUUGUAAAGGUUAUUGGAUAACCGUGGGAAAUCUAGAGCUAAUACAUGCAAAAAAUUAGUUGGUGUUUUGUUUUAGGACUUGACAUCAAAUGCAUUUAUUAGAGAAUACCAACCAUAUGAGAGUAAGAUCUUGUAUGUGGUGAAUCUAGAUAACUGUGCAGAUCGUAUGGCCUCGAGCCGACGACAUUUCGAUUGAGUUUCUGCCCUAUCACCUUGAUGCUAGUGUUUUGUACUAGCAUGGGAAUGACGGGUAACGGAGGAUCAGGGUUCGAUCCCGGAGAGGGAGCCUGAGAAACGGCUACCACAUCCAAGGAAGGCAGCAGGCGCGAAAAUUACCCAAUCCAGACACUGGGAGGUGGUAACGAGAAGUACCGAAUGACGAUCUAAUGGUUGUCAGUUUGGAAUGGAAUCAAUUUAAGCAAUUGAAUUGAGUAACAACUGGAGGGCAAGUCUGGUGCCAGCAGCCGCGGUAAUUCCAGCUCCAGUAGCGUAUCUCAAAGUUGCUGCGCUUAAAACGCUCGUAGUUGGAUCACUAACUGUGUGUUGGGUGAUAUUGAUACUGUUGACCGUUAACUGUGUCUCAAUACAUCAUGUCCUCAUGGUGUAGUUGGGCAGAGUAGGCCUAGUACUUAAUACUAACCAACACAUGGUAAUUGCACGUGAGGAUGGCCAUUGACCUUAAUUGAGUUGAAGGUCGUGUCUCACGGGGUGUGCCUUGAGUAAAUCAGCGUGCUCAAAGCAGGCUUUUUGCCUGAAUGUUGAUAGCAUGGAACGAACAAUCGUGUAUGGUGUGUGCUGAUCACAGUUAUAGUGUCUAACACUCUUAACUGCAGCACACGACACCGACCGCCAAUAUCGGAUGUUGGUUCCGUAUUGGGGUACCGAUUAAGAGGAGCGGUUGGGGGCAUUGGUAUUUGGCAGCGAGAGGUGAAAUUCUUAGACCUGCCAAGGACUAACAAAUGCGAAGGCAUCUGUCCAGACCGUAUCCAUUAAUCAAGAACGAUAGUGAGAGGUUCGAAGACGAUCAGAUACCGUCCUAGUUCUCACUGUAAACUAUGCCGACCCGGGAUCAGUUUGAGAGUUGUUCAAUGCUCGGGAUUGGUCCCCCUGGGAAACCUUAAGUUUUUCGGUUGCGGGGGGAGUAUGGUCGCAAGGCUGAAACUUAAAGGAAUUGACGGAAGGGCACCACCAGGGGUGGAGCCUGCGGCUUAAUUUGACUCAACACGGGAAAACUUACCUGGUCAAGACAUCAAUAGGAUAUUCAGACUGAUAGAUCUUAGUUGAUCUGGUGAUGAGUGGUGCAUGGCCGUUCUUAGUUCGUGGAGCGAUCUGUCAGGUUUAUUCCGGUAACGGACGAGAUCACGAUCUUCACUUGACGAGCUGAAGCAAGCUGCAGAUCACCUAAUUUUGGCAACAAGAUUAUGUAGGUUAUGUAGCGUAGGCAACGUACUUGAAAUGCGUAUAGCGAUUGUCGAGUCGGCAACGGCCUGAUGGUUAAUGUGCGCACGUAGAGUGCGUUCCCUUCAGUCAAACAGCACGUGACUUUGYUGUGUGCUGUAUCGUGAAGAGACAACGGAAUAUAUUACAAAAUCCGAGGAAGAGUGGCUAUAACAGGUCUGUGAUGCCCUUAGAUGUUCAGGGCUGCACGCGCGCUACAAUGGUAACACCUGUGAGACUGCGGACGGCUCAGUAAAUCAGUUAUAAUCUACUCGAUUGUAAAGGUUAUUGGAUAACCGUGGGAAAUCUAGAGCUAAUACAUGCAAAAAAUUAGUUGGUGUUUUGUUUUAGGACUUGACAUCAAAUGCAUUUAUUAGAGAAUACCAACCAUAUGAGAGUAAGAUCUUGUAUGUGGUGAAUCUAGAUAACUGUGCAGAUCGUAUGGCCUCGAGCCGACGACAUUUCGAUUGAGUUUCUGCCCUAUCACCUUGAUGCUAGUGUUUUGUACUAGCAUGGGAAUGACGGGUAACGGAGGAUCAGGGUUCGAUCCCGGAGA